Molecule: long non-coding RNA, 446 nt
Organism: Apis florea (little honeybee)
Lineage: Eukaryota; Metazoa; Arthropoda; Insecta; Hymenoptera; Apidae
Source: RefSeq, a predicted model, not a curated record
UUACUAAUUUCUGUUCGCUUGUGAACGCACUAACAAGCAGAGUGUGUAGAUAAAAACCUUCGCACAACAUCCAUGCGUAAUUAGUAAGAAGAAAGUAAUGAAGGAUAAUAUGCAACAGCCGACAUGUUAUCUGAAAAAUUUGCAAAGGUGUUAUUAUUCGAACGAUAUACGAUGUGACUAAAUUUUCGUUCGUUCGAGUUACUGGGUCGAGUGUUAAGCAAAGAGUUAAGAUGUUCAUACAUACCCCAUUGUUCAACAGUAAAUCCGUAUUCGCUACGAUGCAUCUAUACCACACCAGCCAUAGAGCAUUAUUUACAGCAAAAGAGGCGAACAGGUUCAUAUGAAGAGUGAUCCUUGCACACCUCAGGGAGCUAUUUCGAAGAAAUUCAUGGGAAGAGUAAUAAAAAAUCAGAAAAUAUAUCCUCUCAUAUAAAAUUUCUUUUCUA